AUUGAACGCUGGCGGCAUGCCUUACACAUGCAAGUCGAACGGCAGCACGGGUGCUUGCACCUGGUGGCGAGUGGCGAACGGGUGAGUAAUACAUCGGAACGUACCUUAUCGCGGGGGAUAACGCAGCGAAAGCUGUGCUAAUACCGCAUACGCCCUGAGGGGGAAAGCGGGGGAUCGAAAGACCUCGCGCGAUUAGAGCGGCCGAUGCCUGAUUAGCUUGUUGGUGGGGUAAAAGCCCACCAAGUCGACGAUCAGUAGCUGGACUGAGAGGACCAAUCAGCCACACUUGGACGGAGACACGGCCCAGACACCUAGGGGAGGCAGCAGUGGGGAAUUAUGGAAAAUGGGGGCAACCCUGAUCCAGCAAUGCCGCGUGAGUGAAGAAGGCCUUCGGGUUGUAAAGCUCUUUUGUCAGGGAAGAAACACCGGCGCUAACACAGUCCGGGAAUGACGGUACCUGAAGAAUAAGCACCGGCUAACUACGUGCCAGCAGCCGCCGUAA
RNAcentral lists this ribosomal RNA (502 nucleotides) under uncultured bacterium. RNAcentral's name for it is "partial 16S ribosomal RNA". It matches the Rfam family "Bacterial small subunit ribosomal RNA", at positions 29 to 523 of the family's 1533-position model. The record is from RNAcentral.